UGUUCAAGUUUAAUUUCUUUUGAAUUUGAACCUUUUUUCCAUACGACCCAAAGCAUGACAUGUCAUCUGGAUAAGCACUGCCUCAUGAACUAUCAACACAUUCACAUAAUUGCUUGUGAAUCAGGUCCUGUUCAAGUUUAAUUUCUUUUGAAUUUGAACUUUUUUCCAUACGACCCAAAGCAUGACAUGUCAUCUGGAUAAGCACUGCCUCAUGAACUAUCAACACAUUCACAUAAUUGCUUGUGAAUCAGGUCCUGUUCAAGUUUAAUUUCUUUUGAAUUUGAACCUUUUUUCCAUACGACCCAAAGCAUGACAUGUCAUCUGGAUAAGCACUG
This 335-nucleotide long non-coding RNA is filed under the name Oryza brachyantha (malo sina). RNAcentral's name for it is "long non-coding RNA (OBRA_LNC000908)". Lineage: Eukaryota; Viridiplantae; Streptophyta; Magnoliopsida; Poales; Poaceae. The record is from RNAcentral.